This 253-nucleotide ribosomal RNA is filed under the name uncultured bacterium. Its description in RNAcentral is "partial 16S ribosomal RNA". It matches the Rfam family "Bacterial small subunit ribosomal RNA", at positions 524 to 776 of the family's 1533-position model. The record is from RNAcentral.
UACGGAGGGUGCAAGCGUUAUCCGGAUUCACUGGGUUUAAAGGGUGCGUAGGCGGUCAGGUAAGUCCGUUGUGAAAUCUCUGAGCUUAACUCAGAAACUGCCAUGGAUACUAUUUGUCUUGAAUGUUGUGGAGGUAAGCGGAAUAUGUCAUGUAGCGGUGAAAUGCUUAGAUAUGACAUAGAACACCAAUUGCGAAGGCAGCGUACUGCACAAAUAUUGACGCUGAGGCACGAAAGCGUGGGGAUCAAACAGG